Molecule: small RNA, 285 nt
Filed under: Malus domestica (apple)
Lineage: Eukaryota; Viridiplantae; Streptophyta; Magnoliopsida; Rosales; Rosaceae
Source: RNAcentral
ACGAGGCCUUUUGGGAGCUCACUAGCUUCGGGUUCCAUUAGAACUCCAAAGUUAAGCGAGUUCACGCGAGAGCAAUCCCAUGAUGGGUGACCCAUUAGGUAGUUCUCGUGUGCCCAUGGGUGAGGAUCUUGUAAGCCUUAUAUGUAUAUUCUCAUCUCUACCUAGCACAAGAUCUUUUGAGAGCUCACUAGCUUCAAGUUCCAUCGAAACUCCGAAGUUAAGCGAGUUCGCGCGAGAGCAAUCCUAGGAUGGGUGACCCAUUGGGAAGUUCUUGUGUGAGUUUCC